CCCUUAGAUGUUCUGGGCCGCACGCGCGCUACACUGAUGCAUUCAACGAGUUUUACCUUGGCCGAGAGGCCUGGGCAAUCUUUUAAACCUGCAUCGUGAUAGGGAUAGAUUAUUGCAAUUAUUAAUCUUGAACGAGGAAUUCCUAGUAAACGCAAAUCAUCAAUUUGCAUUGAUUACGUCCCUGCCCUUUGUACACACCGCCCGUCGCACCUACCGAUUGAAUGGUCCGGUGAAGCCUCGGGAUUGUGGCCAGUUCACUUUAUUGGGAGUUGGCUGUGAGAACUUGUCUAAACCUUAUCAUUUAGAGGAAGGUGAAGUCGUAACA
RNAcentral lists this ribosomal RNA (325 nucleotides) under uncultured eukaryote. RNAcentral describes it as "partial 18S ribosomal RNA". It matches the Rfam family "Eukaryotic small subunit ribosomal RNA", at positions 1470 to 1796 of the family's 1831-position model. The record is from RNAcentral.